GAUAGAGGGAGGGCAAACAGACUCCAGAGGCUGAGCACCCUCUGAAGGUGAUGUGCUGGGAUUCCUGGAGCCCUGCUGUACAAAACACUAAGUACACAGGGCAUCAGGCAGACAGCAGGAUCAGCCUAUCCAUAGCUAUGAGUUAUCAAGAAGACAGAGCCAAGAUUCCUUCCAGAGACAAUUUGCAGGAGGAGGCAGGAGAAUGCUUGCAGGUGAAGGCUUCCAGGCUGUCAUCCCAGAGCCAGGUCUGUGGGAGAGGACAUGAAGG
Molecule: long non-coding RNA, 268 nt
Filed under: Cyanistes caeruleus (blue tit)
Lineage: Eukaryota; Metazoa; Chordata; Aves; Passeriformes; Paridae
Description: lncRNA (ENSCCEG00000009496.1)
Source: RNAcentral